This 241-nucleotide ribosomal RNA is filed under the name uncultured bacterium. Its description in RNAcentral is "partial 16S ribosomal RNA". It matches the Rfam family "Bacterial small subunit ribosomal RNA", at positions 95 to 339 of the family's 1533-position model. The record is from RNAcentral.
GCGGCGGACGGGUGAGUAACGCGUAGGAAUCUACCCAGUAGUGGGGGACAACUUAGGGAAACUUAAGCUAAUACCGCAUACGCCCUAUGGGGGAAAGCGGGGGAUCUUCGGACCUCGCGCUAUUGGAAGAGCUUGCGUUAGAUUAGCUAGUUGGUGGGGUAAUUGCCCACCAAGGCGACGAUCAGUAACUGGUCUGAGAGGAUGAUCAGUCACACUGGAACUGAGACACGGUCCAGACUCC